UAUGGCUAUUUUAGUUUACUAAAUUACAACUUUAAAUUUCCCGGGAGUUUCGUCUUCGAAACGUCGUUUAAUGAUGACGUGUACGCAAGACGUCACGCGUUUUAGGAAGUAUGAGUGCUGCGCACACACAGCUAUAUGUAGUCUCCUUUAACAGCAUAAUUAUACAGUUUUUUGGACAUCUGUGUUGCUGAAUCUUUUGCAAUUUGUUCAAUUAAUAUUGGAGAAGUCACAGUAGAAAGAUGGAGUUGGGAAGCUUUAGCCUUUAGCCACACAAACACACAGUGAUUCCUUGUUUAAAAUUCCUGGAGGUGAAACUUUACUAUGGAUCAGAGCGCGGUCAAGAGAACAUGGAUCCCGACCACAUUUCAACCAGCAGGUUUCAGUGAGAAAAUUGUGGUUAAAAAGUCAGUUCUUACCGGAGAAAAGCUGAGCUUGUGCCGUCCAUAGCUGCCGUCGACUCCCCUGAGACACUGCACGUCAAGCCUCCCGUGGAGACACCCUUCCGACUAUCAGAAAGGAGGACUUUUUUUCUACUCCAUUCGAAAAUGUGGGCGUUAUCAUCACCACUGUCUGAUUCCAAUCAAUGCAAGUCAUCAAAAUCAGGAAAUAUGUCCCUGGACACAGGAGGAUUUUGAGGGCAAAAAAGUAAAGAUUUGACCUGGAACUUUUCUGAUACACCUUGCAUAUGGUCUCUGUGAAACUUGGGACACUUUCCGGCCUCAAAUCUUCGCCUUGAAGCUCGUACCACUCACGGCAGAGCAUGUCGAGGGCCAAUAAAAUGAUAACUGCGGACUGCAAAUGGCCUCCAGGCCACACUUUGGACACCACUGGACUAAAUCAUUGGGGCACAUCUCUCCUCAACCAUCAAGCUCCAGAAAGGCCUGAAUGAGAACAAGAGAGCCCCGACCUCAACCCAUAACAGAGAUGUUACAGAGAACAUAAGCAACAUGGCAAUACAUCCAAGUGCUGAAAUCCACCCCAUGAAGUCCAAAGAUCUAAAAGAUAACAGUUCUCUGAAAUGUCACAGGUUUCAGGUAAAUCACAUUGUACGAGCGGCAGAAGAAAACCACAUUAUGUGUCAGCGGUGAAGGGGAAACGUAGACUCUGGAAGACCAACACAUCCUCAAAGCAGUUCCCUUGACGACGCGUACGGGUAUGACUGCAAAGUAAAUGUUGCAUCCACUCUGUGUAAAAGAAAUCAAGUGUCAACUCAUCCAUAAUCGUGUCAGGCGGCGAGUUGACUUUGAACUAGGGUUGUACGGUAUACCGGUAUUAGUAUAGUACUGCGAUACUAAUGAAUCAUAUUCGGUACUAUACCACCUCUGUAAAGUACCGGUUUAUCCCCCAAAUUGAUACCCAAGUAUGUGGUAUCAUCCAAAACCUAUGUAAAGCAUCAAAACAACAGAAGAAUAAGUGAUUAUUACAUUUUAACAGAUGUGUAGAUAGAACAUGUUAAAAGAGAAAGUAAGCAGAUAUUAACAGUAAAUGAACAAGUACAUUAAUAAUUCAUUUUCUACCACUUGUCCCUCAUAAUAUUGAGAAAAUAAUAGAAUGAUAAAUGACACAGUAUGUUACUGCUUAUGUCAGCAGAUACAAACCCCGUUUCCAUAUGAGUUGGGAAAUUGUAUUGGAUGUAAAUAUAAAUGGAAUACAAUGAUUUGCAAAUAAUUUUCAACCCAUAUUCAGUUGAAUUUGCUACAAAGUCAACAUAUUUGAAGUUAAAACUGAUAAACUUUUUUUUUUGUCGCAAAUAAUCAUUAACUUUAGAAUUUGAUGCCAGCAACACGUGACAAAGAAGUUGGGAAAGGUAGCAAUAAAUACUGAUAAAGUUGAGGAAUGGUCAUCAAACACUUAUUUGGAACAUCCCACAGAAUUGCAGGCUAUUUGGGAACAUGUGGGUGCCAUGACUGAAUAUAAAAGCAGCUUCCAUGAAAUGCUCAGUAAUUCACAAACAAGGAUGGGGCGAGGGUCACCCCUUUGUAAGCAAAUUUUAGAACAACAUUUCUCAAUGAGCUAUUGCAAGGAAUUUAGGGAUUUUACCAUCUACGGUCCGUAAAAUCAUCAAAAGGUUCAGAGAAUCUGGAGAAAUCACUACACGUAAGCGAUGAUAUUACGGAUCUUUGAUCCGUCAGGCGGUACUGCAUCAAAAACCGACACCAGUGUGUAAAGGAUAUCACCACAUGGGCUCAGUAACACUUCAAAAAACCACUGUCAGUAACUACAGUGGGUCGCUACAUCUGUAAGUGCAAGUUAAAACUCUACUAUGCAAAGCUAAAGCCAUUUAUCAACAACACCCAGGAACGCCGCCAGCUUCGCUGGGCCCGAGCUCAUCUAAGAUGGACUGAUGCAAAGUGGAAAAGUGUUCUGUGGUCUGACGAGUCCACAUUUCAAAUUAUAUUUGGAAACUGUGGACUUGGUGUCCUCCGGAACAAAGAGGAAAAUAACCAUCCGGAUUGUUAUAGGCGCAAAGUUCAAAAGCCAGCAUCUGUGAUGGUAUGGGGGUGUAUUAGUGCCCAAAGCAUGGGUAACUUACACAUCUGUGAAGGCACCAUAAAUGCUGAAUGGUCCAUACAGGUUUUGGAGCAACAUAUGUUGUCAUCCAAGCAAAGUUAUCAUGGAAGCCCCGUGUUACAACAGCGUGGCUUGGUAGUAAAAUAGUGCGGGUACUUUCCUGUCCCGCCUGCAGUCAAAACCUGUCUCCCAUCGAAAAUGUGUGGCGCAUUCUGAAGCGUAAAAUACGACAGGGGAGACCCCGGACUGUUGAACGACUGAAGAAUUCCACUUUGUUUGUAAAUUAGUAGCCUUUGUUUGUUUUCAUACUAAUAAAAGACAAGUUGUCUACUAAGUUCACUAUUUUAUUUAAGG
This is a long non-coding RNA of Nerophis ophidion (straightnose pipefish), 2865 nucleotides long. RefSeq lists it as uncharacterized. The transcript has 7 exons. The record is from RefSeq and is a predicted model, not a curated record. Lineage: Eukaryota; Metazoa; Chordata; Actinopteri; Syngnathiformes; Syngnathidae.